CACCCGCACAUACACACACACAAACAGAGAGAGAGAGAGAGGGAGAGAGAGACUCCCUGGCUCCCUCCCUCCCUCGCACACAGCGACUGGAGACGGACCGAGAGCAACGCGCAGGGAGAGGAGACCACCGAGCACACAGCCAGGCGCUCUCACACAUACACGCACACACAUACUCACCCAGUGCCUGCUCUUUCCCCCCCCUUCCUCCUCCUCCUCCUUUUCUCUCUGCAACCAGGGGGGGAAAGCCACUUACAGGUAUUUGUCUAGUGGCUCGGCGUCUUUAUUUUUUCCCACCCACCCCCCUUCACAGUUUGUUUACAAGUAUCAAAGUUGUAAUUGAGGAGCCGCCAAGACACAUCUGGAUAUUUCUUCUUCUUUGUGCUAGGGAGUGAUGUGCAACUAAUUAAAGGCAGACAGGCUGGUAGCGUCUGCAAUUUCCAGCCCCCCAAAUAAAGAGACUGAGAACACCUGUUCCCAGCGCUGAAGCAUUCCGAUGGUUCUUUUAAGCAGUAGUAGAUCUUAUUUUCAAGGCAGUCCGAAGUGAAUGGCAAGCUAAAGUCUUGUUUUAAGAAACUGCUUAGUCCACCAUUGAAGAAUAUACUCAGAUACUAUUUUCAUUUAUGUAUAGGGGUUUCCUCAAAAACAAAAUUUAAACAAUCUGGGAGCCUGGGGAAUUGGCCAGUUUAUUCACAUUCAGUACACUGAAUCUUUAUUUGAUGUAACUUAGCUAUACUAGUGAAGUUGUUGUCUAUUUUUAAAGUGGCUGUAAAAAUAAAAAAGUUUGGGUAAACCCCUGCUAUAAAAUCAUGUAUCUUUGAAAAGUAACAUAUCUAUACUUCAUUUUCAAAUAUAUGUGUUUCAGUACUGUAAACUGUACAGAUAGCAGCUUGUAUUUUGUGUGUUUAGACACAAGGAGACAAUCAUGUCUGAGCAUCUAUGGAGAUUAACGGUUUGUACACAACAGUGUGGUUCUGCAAGUUAAAUCUGGAGCAAUAAAUUCUAGCUUUAAAUAUUAUUUUGCUGGCUGGUUAGCAGCAGCAGCAGCACUGUUUUACCAUGCAUCCUUCCAUAGAGACUUGAUGCCAAGUUUUACAAGAUUAAAAGAUUAUGAUGCAUCUAGCAAUUACCUUCAGUUGUAUUGUUGUAAGAGGGGAAGACAAAAAAUCUAAGAUUAAUCUUUUUGAGCACUAUUUUAGAGUAGUGGUUGUACACUUGCAUUGCUUCCAAAAGAGCUUUACAGAAGGGUAUCCCUCCAAAGUAACACACCAUAGCUGAUUUGCUUUUGACUGUGCUGUAGGGUGAAAUGCACAGUAUAGAUGGACAUGCGGAAUCAGUCAUUUAUAUAUAGCAUGUUCUAGCAUACAAAAUGAAAAAAGAGUACCAUAUCUGAGAAAAAUCUAUGACUCAAUGUAUUUACCGUCCCACUAAGAGUUGCUAUGUAGGUUUUUUCAAUAGACGGAAUAAAAUUUUUAUAAAAUAUAUGAAAAUAUUUUCGCUCCAUGUGCAACAUUUAGAGAUUAGACUAGUUUAUAAAUUUAGACAGGCUUGAAUAUCUCCUGCAGUUGUGCAGGCCAUGAGAGCCUGGGUAUUUUUUAAGUAUAUAAGAAAACCCCACAUUUUUUCAAUGAGUGACUAUUUGUCCCCACACAUCUUUCUUUGUCCACUGAUCUUGGGCUUGCUGAAUAACUGGUCCCUUGGGCCUAUAGUAGAAUGCUUCACCAUUCUUUCUCCUGUACUAGCUAUGUAUACAGAACAUUUACUCCUCAUAAAGGCAGAGAAUAGAGUUAUAUAAUUCAGAUGUAAUACAAGAAUAUGGAGGAUACUGAGUUUAUGUACACUUCAUACAGAUUACCUCAUCACCUAUUUAUAGCUUGGCUUUGUUUUCACUCACAUGAAAAGGCCACCCCAUGAAAGUAAGAGAAUGCUGUUAUGCCACAUAUUAUAUAUGUUUAGUAUUUUAUACAAGAUAGGAUGAUAAAUGCUAGUAGCAUCACAGAAAAGCAUGGAAAUAACAGGCUAAUGAUGCAGAGAGUGUACCAAUAGCAUAGUAUUUCAGCACUUUCUCCAUUAUCUGCUAAUUGUUUCAUACUGUUGGCACAUGGCCACACUCACUUGCUUGACAAAUAUUGGGGGGUUAGGUGAGCAGCAUAGUGUGUCAUCAGCUGUCUGUGGAGAGUCAGAGUUCUGGGAAAGUCUGAGGACUGACGAGCCCUGGCAAUGGUCAAGCAACCUAAGGGCAGCAGAUGGGAGGAGAAGCAUCCUAGAAUUGGCUGUGUAGCAGCAAGGGUCAGUAGAAGGGCUGGGACACAGUAGAAGAGCAUCAGAGGACUGGUGUGUUGAGCUGGAGGAGAUUGCACGUGCAUUCUAAACGUUAGGGCUGACACAUGUCCUGGGUUCCGUGUAGCAUGACAUCUUACAUGUAAUUUCAGAAAAUAAAUGCCAUCUUUAAUGUGCUCCCAACAUGUGCCCCCUCUUAUAUUUUAUAAAAGAUCAUUAAUUAAACAAUCAUAAAAUAAGCUUUACCUUCAUUUACUUGGCAGCUUUGUACCUGAUGUUAUUUCAUUUAAGACUUUCUGGUUAAGGCCUCCGUUAUUUACUGCUGGACCAAUGAGAGCUACAUAAGGCCUUCUUUACCAAAUUGUUAAUUGAUUUAAAAACUGACUGAAGCCUUAUUUGCACAUCUGGCUGGUGAGCUUGCCUUGCUUUUUGGAAAAUUGUGAUUGCUCUGACAGAAGUAGAGACAAAAUUCAGUUCAGGCUACAUUAGGUGUACAAAGAUAUUCAUAGCAAUGUACUUACUGUCUAAUACCCUAAUGUUGCAUGUCUUGAUGUGGUUUCUUUUUUUGUUUUGUUGUUUUGUUUUCAAGAACUGAUGGAUCUGUAUAUUGUAAUUGUGGUGUUUUACGUCAAUUCAAAAUUGUUAAGAAAAGCAAACAAACCUGUUAAUUAUUAAAAAUGAACAAGGAUUGAUUUUCGUUGAUUCCCACAUAUGUCUUUUUUUUUUGGACAUUGUUUCUUUAUAUCAUCAAUUUUCCAUAUUGGUAAAACAAUAUUUAUAUGAUGUAGUGCAUAGAGAGCAUUUUUGUUUUUGAUGUUUGAAGAAGGAAAUUCCUUUUCUGGCCUCUCUCUUUCUCUCUCCUAUACGUGGUACAUACAUAUUUAUAAAUUAGAUUAUUGUCAAGUUCUAAUGACUGAAUUUGUGCUUUUCACAAGAUCCUAAAAUACUUUACAAUAUGAAUUUUUUUAUCCCUUUUUGUGUUCUUCAUUUUCACAGUGCAAAAACCGCAUAAUAUAACUUUGAAGUAUUCUAGGUGUGAGCACUAAGCAUGCCUAAUAGAAAAAAAUCUUUUUAUCAUACCCCAGAUAAACCUAUUAAAUAAUAAGGCUGUAAAGGAGGCACACAUACACAUUAUGUGACUUAAUAAUAGACACUCCCUAGGAGAAAGGAAGUACUUCCUUUUGUCCAGAACCCCUGGUAUGUAAGUAAUACAAUUAAUGUUAAAGAAUAUAAAGUCUCUAAACGGGCUAUAUCUGUAAUCAAAUAAUGAAGAAAGAAAGUAGUUAAAUGAACAUACCAUUUAGGGUCGAAUAUAUUCAGCAAAAAGCUGUAGUGGGUCUUUGAUCAUGGUUAGAUGCAUAGUGAUAUCAAACAGUUGGUUCUCAUGUAGCAGCUAAAUGUUUCAGAUUUUUGUUUUUAUUAAAUUUGGCAGUUUCACACUGAGAUCUACUCUAUUCUUAGUGAAUAAAAGACAGCUCCUAUGUUAGAAAGUAUUCCAUUUUCACAAAUGCAGGGAACUAGGAGAUUUUUCAGAAACAUGGGCCACAAAAAUGUACUCCUUUCACAGUGUUCUCCUAUUUCUGAACUGUGCAGUUAUCUAUUAAAUUUUCUAAAAGAUAUUUGUGUAAGGUGUAUGUAUGCUUGUGCAAUUAUGAAAAAAAGCAGUUUUGGAAAACAGUGUAUUUAUUAAAAAAAAGUCACUUAUGGGGCAUGUACAAAACUGUAUAAAAACAUUCAGUUUGCCCAGUAAAGUUGUUUUUGUGAUAUUUCUGUGUUGUUGAAUAAAGGACUUUAGUAUUCAAAAUA
Non-coding RNA from Chrysemys picta bellii (western painted turtle), 4083 nucleotides. Lineage: Eukaryota; Metazoa; Chordata; Testudines; Emydidae. The record is from RefSeq and is a predicted model, not a curated record.